AUCUUUGCGCUUGGGGCAAUGACGCAGCUAGUGAGGUUCUAAUCGAGGCGCGUCUAUUGCUGGUUGAAAACUAUUUCCAAACCCCCUCUUCGUCCCGAGCUUGACUUGGGCUGUUGAGAAUUUCUGGAAGAGCUCCCUCUUGUUAGGGAAGCU
This is a small nuclear RNA of Salvia hispanica, 153 nucleotides long. RefSeq annotates it as U4 spliceosomal RNA. Lineage: Eukaryota; Viridiplantae; Streptophyta; Magnoliopsida; Lamiales; Lamiaceae. The record is from RefSeq and is a predicted model, not a curated record.